GCUAUAAUUGUCAGCUAAGUGGCGCACGGGUGAGUAAUGUAUAGAUAACCUGCCCUUAAGAAAGGAAUAACAGUUGGAAACGACUGCUAAUGCCCUAUAUGCCUUUAAUACAUAAGUAUGCAAGGGAAACGCUUUAGUGCUUAAGGAUGGGUCUGUAUGGUAUCAGCUUGUUGGUGAGGUAAUGGCUCACCAAGGCUAUGACGCCUAACUGGUUUGAGAGGAUGAUCAGUCACACUGGAACUGAGACACGGUCCAGACUCCUACGGGAGGCAGCAGUGGGGAAUAUUGCACAAUGGACGAAAGUCUGAUGCAGCAACGCCGCGUGGAGGAUGACACAUUUCGGUGCGUAAACUCCUUUUAUAUAGGAAGAUAAUGACGGUACUAUAUGAAUAAGCACCGGCUAACUCCGUGCCAGCAGCCGCGGUAAUACGGAGGGUGCAAGCGUUACUCGGAAUCACUGGGCGUAAAGAGCGUGUAGGCGGGUAUAUAAGUCAGAAGUGAAAUCCAAUAGCUCAACUAUUGAACUGCUUUUGAAACUGCAUACCUAGAAUGUGGGAGAGGUAGAUGGAAUUUCUGGUGUAGGGGUAAAAUCCGUAGAGA
Molecule: ribosomal RNA, 600 nt
Filed under: uncultured bacterium
Lineage: Bacteria
Description: bacterial SSU rRNA
Rfam family: Bacterial small subunit ribosomal RNA
Source: RNAcentral